UUGGAUUGGGUUUAUCGAAGGUGAUUUUAGAUCGACUUUAUAUACUUAAGUCGCGCAAACUUGUUUCUUCUAAAUUGUUAAUAUCUUCGACUGGGCGCGGCGUCUUAAGGUCUUAACAAUGUAAACAAUUGCUCUUGAAAACACGACUGUGCAAUUUAGGCCUAUCCAACUUGACAGGCUGACAAAAAGAAGCUCGAUGAUGAUACGGCGGUUCGAGGUAAUACGACGAUUCCAUUAUUGUGAUGACCUGAAGUCAAAACAUUGGGAUGAAGUAUGAAAAUCGUAUUACCGUCCGACGCGUUCAAUGACGUUACAAUACGCAUAGCUAUACAGCUGCGUCGUCAGAUUGUAGAAGGCGUAUCAAUAACUGUACCUCGACGUGUGGCUAUGGCGGAGCGACUCUUUGUCAGAGAAUAGAUCUCUUCAGAUCGGCGAAAAGAUUGGCAGGUGAUUUCCCACGCAACGAGGAACCACAAGAAUGUCGUGAGAACAAUGUGCAUUGGAAAAUGGCUUAAGACCAUGAAUUUAGAGCCCGCGGACGAUGUGAACAGCCAGAAAAGGCCACGCAGAGGAAAUAGCAGCGCUCGUUUCGGAGACGAUUGUCAGCCUAGCUGCGGCUACUCAUGCCAUUCUAAGCCGUAAAAGCAGUAAAAACGAGAGAUAGCCGCUGGAUAGAAAGAUCCACUCAUGCGUGCUAUACGUCGACCUACUGAUCAUGAAUGGAAACGAUGACAUCAACAGUAUAGGAUUGAAGAGGUGGCAAGACACAUGUAUCAUGGUCGGCGUCCCGUUCGCGAAUCUUCGACGCCUUCGAGGGCAUCAACAGUUACCGGCCAGCGAAGCAGAAACAAUGGUUCGAACAUGUGGUCGAGGCGACAAUGUUGCGACACAUCGAUUCGCUCGACAACGACAGCUCUUAAGACUACUACCACGAAUGAUGCUUAGACAUGUUGCAAAAGGGUGACCAAAAAUAGGCAACAGUCAGGACUGUGACGCCCGCUAUUGUCACUAGCCGCAGACCUAUAAGAACCGUCUCUCGUCGAACCAGACUUCAUUGUAGAAAAAUCUACAAUUCUUAGCUACUAGUUGUGAAAUAUAUCAAAGAUAUGGUUGCAGGUGAAAUAUAUCAAAUGUUAGGUUACAGACAUGACCUAAACUAUUGCUUCUUCACGUAACGAAGUUCGCUCACAAAAAGGCGUCUACCUAUUUUAAAAUCGCUCAAAUAUUUGGGGUCUAAUAUCAAUAUCGUUCAAUGAAGAUGGCAAAAAAAAAAUCAACGCUGCUGAAUUAACUCUAGCUUUGUAUCUCUACAUCUGAUGCUACUAGUUGAUCAGUGGCAAAAUGUCAGCUGAAUAGGAGUUGGACCGCCUACCUAGCUAAACAUUUCGGAGACUGCGUCGCCAUGACGACGCGCGCGCGUUUCAUGGCUUUCGCAUAAGUAAUCGUGUUUACGCAGACUGGGCCAGAAGUUGUUAGACUUCCCAGCUCAAGGAGGUCAAGAAAAAAUGCAUUGACUUGAUAUAAUGAGCAUAAACGGCUCUAACAUUUUUACGUUAAUAGAGUUCUAAUAAAAUACUCAGAACUCCCUACAGCGGAUUCGUUGUAACCAUUCUGAAAUUAUUCCGUAUGCGUUAAAAACUGAAUACAAUGGGUGAUUAGGCGGUCUCUAUUGAAACAAAUGAUUAACACGCAGUUUAUAGUCGUGAGGCUUAACGUUGUUGUUGUUGCGUAUUCAAUAGGCCUCCUUGGCCUGAGAUGCGAGCAAUGUACUAUGCAUAUAAUACACUUUAUCCAUAUGACUUCGUGUCAUGUUGAAAUCCUCUGGUAGAUGUCCUUGUUCAAGGUGAGUGA
Varroa destructor (honeybee mite) is the source of this 1851-nucleotide long non-coding RNA. RefSeq lists it as uncharacterized. The record is from RefSeq and is a predicted model, not a curated record. Lineage: Eukaryota; Metazoa; Arthropoda; Arachnida; Mesostigmata; Varroidae.